UGAAGGUGAAGUCGUUACAAGGUCUCCGUUGGUGAACCAGCGGAGGGAUCAUUAC
Molecule: ribosomal RNA, 55 nt
Filed under: Fusarium solani
Lineage: Eukaryota; Fungi; Ascomycota; Sordariomycetes; Hypocreales; Nectriaceae
Description: partial 18S ribosomal RNA
Rfam family: Eukaryotic small subunit ribosomal RNA
Source: RNAcentral